UAGAGUUACUUCUUCACCACAAUACUCUAUCGCCAAAAAUAGAACUAUAAAAGAAAUUAAACCUCCAAAGAAGUAUGGCAAGGCUGAUCUAGCUGCUUAUGCUUUAUAUGUGGCUGAAGAUGUAGAUGCAAACCAAGAGCUAUCUAAUUAUUCUGAGGUGGUUAGCUUUGAAGACUCAGAAAAGUGGAUUUUGCUAUGCAAGAGGAGAUGAAUCACUCCACAAAAACAGAAUACAGGAUCUUGUGAAACUUUCUAAAGGGAAAAAGGUUGUUC
This 273-nucleotide long non-coding RNA is filed under the name Gossypium barbadense (sea-island cotton). Its description in RNAcentral is "long non-coding RNA (GBAR_LNC005201)". The record is from RNAcentral. Lineage: Eukaryota; Viridiplantae; Streptophyta; Magnoliopsida; Malvales; Malvaceae.